CCUACGGGGCGCUGCAGUGGGGAAUAUUGCACAAUGGGGGAAACCCUGAUGCAGCAACGCCGCGUGAGUGAAGAAGUAUUUCGGUAUGUAACGCUCUAUCAGCAGGGAAGAAGAUGACGGUAUCUGAGUCUGAAGCUCCGGCUAACUACGUGCCAGCAGCCGCGGGAAUACGUAGGGGGCAAGCGUUAUCCGGAUUUACUGGGUGUAAAGGGAGCGUAGACGGUGAGACAAGUCUGAAGUGAAAGCUCGGGGCUCAACCCCGGGACGGCUUUGGAAACUGGCUGACUGGAGUGCUGGAGAGGCAAGCGGAAGUCCGAGUGUAGCGGUGAAAUGCGUAGAUAUUAGGAAGAACACCAGUGGCGAAGGCGGCUUGCUGGACAGUAACUGACGUUGAGGCUCGAAAGCGUGGGGAGCAAACAGGAUUAGAUACCCGUGUAGUC
This 440-nucleotide ribosomal RNA is filed under the name uncultured bacterium. RNAcentral describes it as "partial 16S ribosomal RNA". It matches the Rfam family "Bacterial small subunit ribosomal RNA", at positions 338 to 795 of the family's 1533-position model. The record is from RNAcentral.